UAGGACUUUUUCUCUCUCAUUUCCAGGCCACUCCCUCAAACGGCUUGCUUUACUUGCUUGGUGGGAGGGGGGGCCUGCCCUCGGGUUUCAUUUCACCCGAGAGGAGGUCACAGCGCCCCCAAGUGGUCGCAGUGUCCACGGUCCGGGCCGGGGAGGUGCGGCAGGUCGGGCUGGGCCUAGGGGUAGGACGGGGACAGGGCAUCAGAUGCUCUUUGAGGCGCUGUAUUCCCAGGCGCUGUUCCCUCUGCCUGGGAAGGCUUUCCCUGCUUUUCCUAGCGACAUCCUGCAAUUUUUUUUGUAUUUUGAGACGGAGUCUCGCUCUGUCGCCCAGGCUGGAGUGCCGUGGCGCGAUCUCAGCUCCCUGCAACCUCCGCCUUCCGGGAUCGGGUUCAAGCGAUUCUCCUGCCUCAGCCUCCCGAGUAGCUGGGAUUACAGGCGCCCACCACCACGCCUGGCUAAUUUUUGUAGUUUUAGUAGAGACGGGGUUUUGCCAUGUUGGCCAGGCUGGUCGCGAACUCCUGACCUCAGGUGAUCCACCCACCUUGGCCUCCCAAAGAGCUGGGAUUACAGGCAUGAGCCACUGCGCCCAGCCACAUCCUCCAAUUUUAAGCCUCAGCUAAGGAAUGAUUGAUUUCUCUCCUAAGCCUUCUCUCUGGCCUUAGGCUGAAAACCAGCUGUCCUUUCUGUGCUCCCAGGAGCCCAACCUGUUCCUGCUCCACUAUCCCAUGCUGGCCUAGGAGGCUCCAGACAGCGGGCUGCUUCCUCAGCACCCAGCACGACGCCACCAAAAUGUCCCCUUGGAUGUGCACAGUCCUCUUUCACAGGGAAACUUCCAAAUAUUGAAUUAUAAGCAGCCCACAAAGUCCAAAAGAGGGGUUGGAGAGAGGUAGCUGGAGCUGACCGUGGUCACUUCCAUAGCAGUUGUGGUCCUUGGAAAAGUUUUCUGGUGGGAGACAAAAAUCUGACUUCCUGAAAUUUCCACCCUGUGGUUCCAGCCUGCUGGCUGCAGCAGCCAUUCUGAAAGCAGAGAUUUGCCCUUGGCUCCCUGAAUAUCACUUUCUGGGGUUGAGAGAUCACAUGCUGUGGAGGAAGCCAGCCGCCAUGUUGUGAAGGCACGCAAGCAGCCUACAGAGGUCCACAUGUUGAGGAACUGAGGCCUCCUGCAAACAGCCAGCAAUGACUUGCCAGGCAUAAUAGCUACUUUGCAAAUGGGUCUUCCAGCUCGUCAGGCAUUCAAAUGACUGUAGCCUGACUGACAACUGACUGCAACCUCCUGAGACCUUGAAUCAGAACUGCCCAGCUCCCAAAUUCCUGACCCAUAGCAUCUGUGGGGUAUAAUAAAUGUUUCGGAAUAAUUAAUUACACUUCAAUAGACAA
Long non-coding RNA from Symphalangus syndactylus (siamang), 1377 nucleotides. RefSeq lists it as uncharacterized. The record is from RefSeq and is a predicted model, not a curated record. NCBI's taxonomy places the organism in Eukaryota, Metazoa, Chordata, Mammalia, Primates, Hylobatidae.